Molecule: RNase P RNA, 289 nt
Filed under: Candidatus Rokubacteria bacterium RIFCSPLOWO2_12_FULL_73_47
Lineage: Bacteria; Candidatus Rokuibacteriota
Description: partial RNase P RNA component class A
Rfam family: Bacterial RNase P class A
About the family: Ribonuclease P (RNase P) is a ubiquitous endoribonuclease, found in archaea, bacteria and eukarya as well as chloroplasts and mitochondria. Its best characterised activity is the generation of mature 5'-ends of tRNAs by cleaving the 5'-leader elements of precursor-tRNAs.
Source: RNAcentral
CUGGCUAACGGCCAGGGGGGGCGACUCCACGGACCAGUGCCACAGAAAGCAGACCGCCGCGCGCGAGCGCGGUAAGGGUGAAACGGUGAGGUAAGAGCUCACCAGCGGCGCGGGUGACCGCGUCGGCUCGGCAAACCCCACCCGGAGCAAGACCGAAUAGGAGAGCGCAGGGUGGCCCGCCCGUGGCUCUCGGGUUAGGUCGCUGGAGGCGCCGGGCAACCGGCGUCCUAGAGAAAUGACCGUCGCCCCGCGAGGGGCACAGAACCCGGCUUACAGGCCCUCUCUGGCG